UUCAAAGGAAGCAGUGAUAGGCUGACUGCUCUCCCCUCACCUUAACCCCCGCUUCUUGCUAUUUUUAAACGGGAGGACAACGUCGCGCAGCUUUGUCAAACAGUUAUCGAUAAUGAGGCUGGAUAAUGGUGUGACAAUCCAGCCCUUUUCUGCUCAUGGUAUCAAUCUAAAAAUACCACCUGACCCUAACGGAGAAAGUCAGGGGCCAUUGAGACGGCUGUGAGAGUGGGAAACGGCCCCUUCCUCUGUCUAAAUCCGCAGUGACCGCCGGUGCGCUGCGGGGCAUCGCGGGAUACACUCCCCUGUGUGGCAGCCUGAUGCCCUGGAAAAAAAUCCAACUUCAGAGUUGGGAAGUCAAAGAUUCAAAUCUCACCUCUGACACAUACCGAUGCAUGACCUUGGACUAGUCAAAAGACAAAGACCCAGGUUAUUUGGGUGUGUGUUACAUCUCAUUCGGAGCAGAGGGGUACUGGAUUUCUCAAAGAAGUGGAGCACACGAGUUGGCGA
RNAcentral lists this long non-coding RNA (507 nucleotides) under Monodelphis domestica (gray short-tailed opossum). RNAcentral's name for it is "lncRNA (ENSMODG00000033313.2)". The record is from RNAcentral. Lineage: Eukaryota; Metazoa; Chordata; Mammalia; Didelphimorphia; Didelphidae.